CCUACGGGCGGCAGCAGUGAGGAAUAUUGGUCAAUGGGCGCGAGCCUGAACCAGCCAAGUCGCGUGAGGGAAGACGGUCCUAUGGAUUGUAAACCUCUUUUGUCGGGGAGCAAAAGACGCCACGCGUGGCGUUCUGAGAGUACCCGAAGAAAAAGCAUCGGCUAACUCCGUGCCAGCAGCCGCGGUAAUACGGAGGAUGCGAGCGUUAUCCGGUUGUAUUGGGUUUAAAGGGUGCGCAGGCGGAAGGUCAAGUCAGCGGUAAAAUUGAGAGGCUCAACCUCUUCGAGCCGUUGAAACUGGAUUUCUUGAGUGAGCGAGAAGUAUGCGGAAUGCGUGGUGUAGCGGUGAAAUGCAUAGAUAUCACGCAGAACUCCGAUUGCGAAGGCAGCAUACCGGCGCUCAAAUGACGCUGAUGCACGAAAGUGUGGGUAUCGAACAGGAUUAGAUACCCCGGUAGUC
This 459-nucleotide ribosomal RNA is filed under the name uncultured bacterium. Its description in RNAcentral is "partial 16S ribosomal RNA". It matches the Rfam family "Bacterial small subunit ribosomal RNA", at positions 338 to 795 of the family's 1533-position model. The record is from RNAcentral.